GGAAUCAUCCCACUGUCAGGGCAAAAAGCUUAUACUAUUCUUUGAAACAGGAUAUGUGCUCUUCAAGGAAGAAGAAUGGGAUGGUUUUUAUCCAUGCUUGAUUCUCUGAGUACUGCUGGUGUAGUGUUGACAUGCAAUAAGGGAUCCCCAUUGAGACAUUCAGCAAUUGAUGGUCAAGGUCAUAUGGACCAGCAGCCCCUUUCUAUCAGGAGAGUCACCUUCCAGGUUUGAGAAUUCUUUGGAUUGAGUUGCCCAUUGGCCUGUAGGAAGACUUAUUUUCACUCAUCGAAUCUCUCCAUU
Long non-coding RNA from Hyaena hyaena (striped hyena), 300 nucleotides. RefSeq lists it as uncharacterized. The record is from RefSeq and is a predicted model, not a curated record. NCBI's taxonomy places the organism in Eukaryota, Metazoa, Chordata, Mammalia, Carnivora, Hyaenidae. The transcript has 3 exons.